AAAGAAUUAGUUAAUAUUAUAACAUUAGACUGUCAAACUAAAAUUAUCAAAUUAUUGAUAUUCUUUU
RNAcentral lists this transfer RNA (67 nucleotides) under Opisthoplatia orientalis. RNAcentral's name for it is "tRNA-Asp". Lineage: Eukaryota; Metazoa; Arthropoda; Insecta; Blattodea; Blaberidae. The record is from RNAcentral.